UACGUAGGGUGCAAGCGUUGUCCGGAAUUAUUGGGCGUAAAGGGCUCGUAAGCGGUCCAUCGCGUCGGGAGUGAAAAGCUGGGGCUUAACCCCAGUCCUGCUUCCGAUACGGGUGGACUAGAGGUAGGUAGGGGAGAUCGGAAUUCCUGGUGUAGCGGUGAAAUGCGCAGAUAUCAGGAAGAACACCCGUGGCGAAGGCGGCUCUCUGGGACGGUACUGACGCUGAGACGCGAAAGCGUGGGGAGCGAACAGG
RNAcentral lists this ribosomal RNA (253 nucleotides) under uncultured bacterium. RNAcentral describes it as "partial 16S ribosomal RNA". It matches the Rfam family "Bacterial small subunit ribosomal RNA", at positions 524 to 776 of the family's 1533-position model. The record is from RNAcentral.